UAAAAAUUAGUUAAUUUAUAACGUAAGCUUGUCAAGCUUAAAUUAUUAGGCAUCUAAUAUUUUUAU
This 66-nucleotide transfer RNA is filed under the name Typhlatya mitchelli. RNAcentral's name for it is "tRNA-Asp". Lineage: Eukaryota; Metazoa; Arthropoda; Malacostraca; Decapoda; Atyidae. The record is from RNAcentral.